CUCCUUCAAUGUCGAUCCUCUAUCCACCUUCAAUUCAUCUUCACUCAAUACCAGAUAGAAUCCAUCAUCAGCUGCCACCUCUUUCCUACUUCGAUCAGCCACCACCAAGAUAGCCUCCUCCUUGUACCACCUAUUAACUCUCCAUGGCAAAGCCCUCGCAUCAGAAAAGGCCACCACUACUCCGCCUCUCUUCAACCCUAUCACUGGCUCCCACGCCGGCAACACCACCCAUCUCCUCCAGUCUUUCUCAGCCUCCACUAUACCAAAAUCCCCUUUGCACCCAGUUUCCCAUGGUGCAUCCUUCACCCCUUUGUCUCUCUCACCCGCUCCACAAACCGGCAAAACUGCAACCACCGUAGCCUCUGCAAUCUCCCCCAGAUUUAACCUCACUACAGGAACUUUCACUCCAUCAACAACGCCUCCAUCUCUUCCCUGUCCUUCUCCAUCACCAUCGUUUCCAUCCAAUUCCUUUGUCACCCACGCUUUUGCUGGCUCAGACACAGCCACAGACAAAGCCUUUUGCAAUACAGAUAUUUUCGACUCUGUAUCCCGAUUUUCAAGAGCUUGUCUGU
RNAcentral lists this long non-coding RNA (572 nucleotides) under Lactuca sativa (garden lettuce). RNAcentral describes it as "long non-coding RNA (LSAT_LNC001874)". The record is from RNAcentral. Lineage: Eukaryota; Viridiplantae; Streptophyta; Magnoliopsida; Asterales; Asteraceae.